AUGACGCUCCUGGGUUGGAUGCACCGGAAGCUGCGAAGCAAUAACGACGUCUUCAAAGAGUUCAACACCACCGGAGGCGGGGCCUGCAACUGCAUCGCUGGACUAGCCUCGCAGGACCACGAGUACUACGAUGAUGAUGCUUUCGUCGCCAACCAUCCUUCACCGCCGGUCAACGCCGACGACCUCUUCACCUUCGGCGGCAGCGGCCUCCUUACCAUUGGCACGCUAGGGUUCGCCGCCAUUAAUGUCCCCGGAGAAGACGAGGGCCACGAAGACUAUGAUGUUGAUGAUGACGACUGCGUCGACAUUGACCUUGACAACAUCGAUGGCACCAUCGACGAAGUUGACGAUGGCAAUGUUGAUGAUGGUGCUCUCACACCUACCUUCACCUUCCCCCAGCUUGAGUCCACCACCGCGGAGAAGGUGAUGGUCAGCGUCGAGGCGAUCGCGGAAAAAGAUGACGUCGCCACCACGGAGGACGAACUCAUGCUGGUGAGCGCUGAGUUGGAGAAGGUCCUCGGGGGCAGCAACGUGCCGUCGGCACGGGUAAGCUUCGCCAUGGGCAUCGAUUGCCCACUGCAGGGCUUCCUACUUGGUUCCCCAGUGUGCAGCGACACUGAAUCAUGGCCAGAGAAGCCAAACGGCGGUGGACGUCGUGCCUCGCUCGGUGAGUUGUUCAUGCGGACACGCUUCACGGAAGAGAAGGGGGCCCUAGUCGCCGUCCAGGAGAGCGAGGAUGGUGGUGAGAGGGAGGAAGGGAAAGUAGGGAAAGGCGGAGACAGCGGUCACAAAAGGACGAAGAAGUGGAGGGUGAAGGAUGAGAAAGGCGCUGGCGGCGACGGAGUGCCAGCCAGUGCAACGGCCAAGAGCAAGUUUCAGAAGAUCCUGAAAAUCUUCCACAGGAAAGUCUACCCUGAAAGCACUAUGCUGACCAAGAAGAACCGCAAGCGGGGUACCCCAGACAACAGCGGCGGUGGCGGUGCCACCGACGAGUCGGUGCCCUCACCGACUCCGAAGAAGACCGGGCCACGCAGGCUGAGCUUCGGCUGCUGCUGCACGAAGCGCUCCUUCAGCGCCUCCCCUGUUGACGACGUAGGUGAGGAGCUCAACGGCGACAAGAGCGGCCACUGGAUCAAGACCGACGCAGACUACCUGGUACUGGAAUUAUAG
Molecule: ribosomal RNA, 1170 nt
Filed under: Triticum aestivum (bread wheat)
Lineage: Eukaryota; Viridiplantae; Streptophyta; Magnoliopsida; Poales; Poaceae
Description: partial small subunit ribosomal RNA
Source: RNAcentral